Molecule: long non-coding RNA, 585 nt
Organism: Actinia tenebrosa (Australian red waratah sea anemone)
Lineage: Eukaryota; Metazoa; Cnidaria; Anthozoa; Actiniaria; Actiniidae
Source: RefSeq, a predicted model, not a curated record
UGGCGAUCAAAACCCUAUUCAUGCCCAUUCAGAUUUUGAAAAAGAUAAAUGAACCACCUAACUGGAAACAAUGAAAAACUAUACCGAAGCCAAUAAAUAAAGGAUUGGAGUUCAGCAAAGAUUUCUCUCCUUCAGAAGUAGCUAGAAUCCUGGUUGGUCAAAAACAAUUUUGCACCCGAGAUGAAAGAAAAGUUUGGUAAGCUUGACUUUUUGAAUUCAAUGUCAUGAUUUUGUACUUAUUUUAAUACAGAUCGUGGCCCUUUCUUUUUUCAGCUGCCGACGGUCUUGACGGCAAGGAGCUUAUUGGAUUGUUUAAAGACGAAGCAGAAAUGAUGCAAUUUCUGCCUGUGUUUAAAGAAAGGAAACUUUUUAAGACUCUAAUAGGAAAUUUCUCGAUGACGACAAGGACAGCGAGCCUCCUAUCUCCACAAAUAACUCUCCAGCUAGUGACUCUCYCGCUCGAAUCACAGAAAAUAAUGUAGAAGAASCUCCACUCAUCUUCUGGUGGUUCUAGUAACAGUUUGGUCGUUACCCCUCAGUGGACACCUCCAAGCCGUGAGAGUGUAAAUAGAGAAAUAGAGGAGG